CUUGUUACAGUUUACAUUUAAUAGCCAAUUUCCACUUUCUGAAUAUAUUGUUUGGAUUUCAGGUAAACUGCUGUGACACCAGAAUGAUUACUACUGGAAGCACCUCUCUGCAAUUUGCAUUCUAGGAGAACAGUUUGAAUACUUUCUCUCAUGAAAAGUGAAAUAGCACAGUGGAUGCCCACAAAUGCUAAGGACAGUGGAUUUAUGUCCUAGCUGACGGUCACACCCUGAAUCCUGGUAGUUCAAUGGCUGCCUCUCCUCAGAGACAAAGCAUAAAGGUUACCUGCAUUGAGACCAUGAGGCUGGAAGGAGAAAACAUAUAGUAACUUUUCAAGGUAUACCCACAGUUAGGAAAGAUGGCUGAUGGAGGACAGCAUAACAGGUAGUGUAAUUCUGAUUUACCAAGUGCUGUAAAAU
This 417-nucleotide long non-coding RNA is filed under the name Numida meleagris (helmeted guineafowl). RNAcentral describes it as "lncRNA (ENSNMEG00000018708.1)". The record is from RNAcentral. Lineage: Eukaryota; Metazoa; Chordata; Aves; Galliformes; Numididae.